AGAGCAUCCUUUAGAAUGCACUGUGUGAGGAGUUGGCAAACUCUUCUCAAAGGGACCAGAGACCUAACUCAGUAUGAACAGUUGAAAGCCCAUCAGGGAACUGGAGCAGGAAUUUCCCCAAUGAUCCUCAAUUCAGGAGAGGGCAAAGAAGUAGACAUUUUACGAAUGCUCAUCAAGGCCAAAGACGAAUACACAAAGUGUAAAACCUGUUCUGAGCCAAAAAAGAUAACCAGUUCCUCUGCCAUCUAUGACAAUCCAAAUCUCAUCAAACCAAUUCCAGUGAAACCCAGUGAAAACCAGCAACAGCAUAUACCUCAGCCCAACCAGACCUUAGACCCUGAACCCCAACACUUAUCUUUGACAGCUCUGUUUGGGAAGCAGGACAAAGCUACAUGUCAGGAAACUGUGGAGCCUCCGCAGACUCUCCACCAGCAGCAGCAGCAGCAGCAGCAGCAGCAGCAGCAGCAAGAGAAGCUUCCAAUUAGGCAGGGGGUUGUACGCUCCCUGUCCUAUGAGGAACCCAGAAGACACUCACCCCCCAUUGAGAAGCAGCUCUGUCCAGCCAUUCAGAAACUCAUGGUCAGGAGCGGAGACCUCCACCCAUUGUCAGAGCUGCCUGAAAACCGGCCUUGUGAAAAUGGCAGCACCCAUUCUGCGGGAGAAUUUUUUACAGGACCUGUCCAGCCAGGGUCUCCUCACAACAUUGGAACUUCUCAUGGUGUACAAAAUGCUUCCAGAACUCAGAACCUGUUCGAGAAACUUCAGAGUACCCCAGGGGCAGCAAACAAGUGUGACCCUAGUACACCAGCACCUGCCAGCUCAGCUGCCCUGAACCGCAGCAGAGCUCC
This 848-nucleotide small RNA is filed under the name Pan troglodytes (chimpanzee). RNAcentral describes it as "processed transcript". Lineage: Eukaryota; Metazoa; Chordata; Mammalia; Primates; Hominidae. The record is from RNAcentral.